Molecule: long non-coding RNA, 2791 nt
Filed under: Macaca mulatta (Rhesus monkey)
Lineage: Eukaryota; Metazoa; Chordata; Mammalia; Primates; Cercopithecidae
Description: lncRNA (ENSMMUG00000052914.1)
Source: RNAcentral
AGGCAAGGCAGCCGUGAGGCGGAGGACAGGCUGGGGGACCCCAAUGGGUCCACUCCGGCCCCCACCCCAGGCACUGGGACUCUGGCGGCACCCUGGAUGGCAGGCAAGCCUUGAAGUUAAGUGCACGCGCCUUGGAAAGGAGGACAGGGAGAGUUAUGGGAUUUAUGAAUGAAGAAGAGAAAGAGAAUCACUCGGAUGGGAAAAGUUAACUGGAUUGUUCCCACCUGCAUGGAUCACCGGGUCUGGACAGCUACUUGUUAUAUUUGGCUCAUGCUAGCUUAAAAAAGGAAUUUAUGGACCUUACUGCAGAACGUCCCAAUUCUUCAGGCCAAGGAAAAUUCCCUGGAGUCCAAGGGUUGUGUGAUGAGGCCCCCCGCCCCCACUCCGUAACUUCCUGGCCAUCUGCGUGACUCGCAACCCUGAGGCUUCCAAGGAAGAGCAUUUUCGCCACCCCUCAAGACUGCUUCACAGCCGGCAUCGCUUGAGCACAUUGCCUCAUUUUUUUUGAAGGGAUCGCGCUGGUUUAUGGCUUUUUCACCUCCAAACCUGUCCUCACUGGGUGCAGGAGAAAUUCCGAUUUGCCAGGAACCUGUCCAGUCAUCUGGAACCUUCCCCAGGGCUGGGAAGGUCAACUCCCGCCACAGGUCAUAUUGAUUUUAUUGGAUGGCUUUUUCCAAAGCAGUGGAACAGCAGCAGGCGGGGAGGGUUCCAGCUCUGCGCGGGAGCACACGGCCCACGCUGCCUGAAACGGCUCUCCCGUUCCUCGCCAGUACAGGGAGCGGGUAUAGGGGCUGGCCCACCUACAAUCCCCUCCUAGAUCAGGCCUUUGCUUGCAUUAUCAGAGUGGGAUUGUCAACCUGGUUUCCUUAAAUUGCUGCAUGAGCUCGGUCCAUGUGUGGUCACAAAGCAAGAUACCCCAUCCGCCCCACGGAAUAUAUUAAGCGUCUGUGCAGUGAUUGCUGUUGACCGCUUCCUGGGAGCUGGCGAGGAGGCCCCUGCUAGCCCCUGAUAGGGAAGAGACAGUCGUGGGGGACAGAGCAGAUGUGCCUUGGGAAGAGUCAAAAGGGAAGAGGGAGGGGUGGGCUGGGUUGAAAGCCUGCUGGACCUGGGCUCUACCCUUUACCACCUUCCAAGGGAGGCAUGAUCCCACUGUACAGAGUAAGGCCCUGAGGCCAGGAAGGGCAAGGUGACCUGAGAGCUAGCACCAGAAGCCAGGCCUAGCUCCAGAAUCCUUGCCUGUAACAGAGAGAAUGGCUGUUCUCUCACUUUGGUACACAUCAAAAUCAGAGGGCUUGUCAAAAUGCUGUUUCCCAGGCCCCCACACCAACUCCUAGGGGACAGACGUCUCUGGAUAGCAAGUCACAGAUGUGUACUGGCAGGGGCCAAAUGAGGACCCAUGGCUACACUGCUGACCAAAGGUCUUCUCCAGUAACAGGCAAACGACUCUGGACCCAUGAACACCAGGGGAGUGAUCCAGGGAGAGAGAAGAUGUUUCGGGCUCUCCGGUUGCGAAUUCUAAUCCCCAUCGUUUAUCUGAUCCUUUCUCACUCCAAAUGGUUUGGAAAUGCCAGCACACACUCAACUUCCUCAGAGGCACAUCUGUGCUUCGUGGUGCAACAAGGAAAGCCUGGGUGCAGGCACAGAGGUCUGUAGUCACGUGGGAGUUUGGAGGCUGCAAGUUGCUUGAUGCUGGUGGAUUAUCAAGUAUGAGAUGUGAUGUGGAGGGGUAGAUAAGACAGAUCGUGAAGGUUAAAUAUUGUAUCUGUCCCCUCGGCCUUUUUUUCCCCCCCGAGUGGUGACAGGAAGUCUCCUAAGGGUUUUAACUGGGGGAUGACAUGGCCAGUCCUAGGUGUUUGAAGGCUCACCCUGGCUGCAGUACAGAAAGGCAAAGCUGGACCAGGGCAGUUAGGAGCCUUGUGUGGUCCAAGCAAAAUAUACAGAGGCAUUUGAGUUCAGGUUAACCUGAAUGAGGAGUCCUUAUAGAUCCGCGAGAGCAUUCACUAGAGAAACCAGAAGAGCCACACCUUAGCAGUGGGCCUAAAUUAUUCCUACAGUAAGGGCUACAUUAGACCCACCCUAACCAAGAUUAUAAACAAGUCUCCAAAGGGUCAAACUGAACCACAAGUUUGAUUUGCCUGAAAAAGUUUUUGCCCCCAAAAGUCUUUAUUUUAUAAUUAUCUGCCUACCAAAGCAAAGCCCAACACUCUUUGAAGGAAGACAACAACAUUUUAGACACUCAACACUGAAGUGUCUAAAUGUUCUUAGAGCAGAAAGAAAAUGAUGCCAGAUAGAAAUUUAGAUCUACAAAAGAAAGAAUGACAAUAACAAAUAUGCAUGUAUUUUAAUUUGUUAAUUAAAUACGCUAUUUUUAAUUUUUAAUUUUUAAAUUAAUUUAAAAUAGAUUUGGCAAUUUAAAACAGAAACAAUAGCGAUGUGUAGUGGGAUGUGUAAUGUAAUUAUCAUAAUGUUCAACAUCCAAACAAAAAUUACUAAAUAUGUUAAGUUGAACAAUGUGAGACAAUCAGUCAAGAGACACAGUCUCAGAAAUGACAAGGAUGAUAGAAUUAGCAAACAAGGACAUUAAAACAACUAUUAAAUGCAUAUUCAAUUAUUUUUAAAACAUGAACAUAGUGAAGAGAGGAAUUUAGGAGAUAAAAAGCACCAAAUGGAACUUCUAGAGAUGAAAACUACAGUAUCAGAAAUGAAAAAUAUAAUGGGAUUAACAGCAGAUUUGGAAAUAGGGUGAAAGGAGAAGUGAAUGUUAAGACAUGGCAAUAGAAACGAUCCAAAA